Molecule: ribosomal RNA, 759 nt
Filed under: uncultured Aggregatibacter sp.
Lineage: Bacteria; Pseudomonadati; Pseudomonadota; Gammaproteobacteria; Pasteurellales; Pasteurellaceae
Description: bacterial SSU rRNA
Rfam family: Bacterial small subunit ribosomal RNA
Source: RNAcentral
AUUGAACGCUGGCGGCAGGCUUAACACAUGCAAGUCGAACGGUAACAUAAAGAAGCUUGCUUCUUUGAUGACGAGUGGCGGACGGGUGAGUAAUGCUUGGGAAUCUAGCUUAUGGAGGGGGAUAACUACGGGAAACUGUAGCUAAUACCGCGUAAUAUCGAAAGAUUAAAGUGUGGGACCUUCGGGCCACAUGCCAUAGGAUGAGCCCAAGUGGGAUUAGGUAGUUGGUGAGGUAAAGGCUCACCAAGCCGACGACCUCUAGCUGGUCUGAGAGGAUGACCAGCCACACCGGGACUGAGACACGGCCCGGACUCCUACGGGAGGCAGCAGUGGGGAAUAUUGCGCAAUGGGGGCAACCCUGACGCAGCCAUGCCGCGUGAAUGAAGAAGGCCUUCGGGUUGUAAAGUUCUUUCGGUGACGAGGAAGGCGUGAUGUUUAAUAGGCAUCACGAUUGACGUUAAUCACAGAAGAAGCACCGGCUAACUCCGUGCCAGCAGCCGCGGUAAUACGGAGGGUGCGAGCGUUAAUCGGAAUAACUGGGCGUAAAGGGCACGCAGGCGGCUAUUUAAGUGAGGUGUGAAAUCCCCGGGCUUAACCUGGGAAUUGCAUUUCAGACUGGGUAGCUAGGGUACUUUAGGGAGGGGUAGAAUUCCACGUGUAGCGGUGAAAUGCGUAGAGAUGUGGAGGAAUACCGAAGGCGAAGGCAGCCCCUUGGGAAUGUACUGACGCUCAUGUGCGAAAGCGUGGGGAGCAAACAGG